GGAGAGGUGGCCGAGAGGCUGAAGGCACUCGCCUGCUAAGCGAGUAGGGGGCUCACGCUCUCUCGCGGGUUCGAAUCCCGCCCUCUCCG
RNAcentral lists this transfer RNA (89 nucleotides) under Solirubrobacterales bacterium. Its description in RNAcentral is "tRNA-Ser". It matches the Rfam family "tRNA". Rfam says of the family: Transfer RNA (tRNA) molecules are approximately 80 nucleotides in length. Their secondary structure includes four short double-helical elements and three loops (D, anti-codon, and T loops). RNAcentral also lists the same sequence under 1 other name. Lineage: Bacteria; Bacillati; Actinomycetota; Thermoleophilia; Solirubrobacterales. The record is from RNAcentral.